AUGACUGUUAUGAAUAAAACACACAAAAAAGAAACUCUCUUCCACUCAUGGUUGUGGAAGGGUAGAUAUUCCUGGGAUUGGGAUUUAUCCAAUUAUUUCCUCCAAAAGGGACAAGGCAGAUCUGGAGCUGUGAUGAGAAGCUGGCAGGCAGACACUAGGGGACUGGCCCCAAUCCCCCUCACCCACAAGACUCUCCUGCCAAUGACAGCUAACCCGGGGGAGCCCCAGAAUGCCACUGGGCAAGCCUGGGUGGGGCCCACCGGCCGCUGCAUCUGACUGCGGGUCAGGUCAGGUGCUUCCACAGUGAAGCACCACGGUCGUGUCCUUGUGCGGGGACCACAGGCAAGUCACUUGGUCCUUCUGGCCAGCUUCUGUCUUUGCGUCCUAUUGGCCUUGCCUGCCGGCUCCGGCUGUCAUCAAAGGAGGGCUGUUUUUGAGAUCAAGUAUCUGAAUGUUCUUACAAUGUGAGGUUGAAGUGCAAUUACUCACAGGGCCUGUCUCAGAAGCCAGACCAUACUGCUGAACUGGAUUAGUCAUUUUGCUGCCUCUAAGCAUACAGCCACCUAUAAACUGGAACUUCCUAAUGGCAGCCUGUCACUUCCACCGAGACCCACCAGUUGAAUGCCUUCAGACCUGUUCUCCACAUCCUCAUCAAAGCUGAGGCAGGACCGCUGGUAUUUUCCGAGCGUAUUUAAGGUGCACUGUAGAAACACCAAGGGAUGAUGCAGUGAUGACACCAGCACCCCCCACCCCACUUCUUCAUCUUGGGAGGUAACUCUGUGGGCCAGGCUGAGUUAUUCGGGAUUCUGAUUUUGACUCCAUGCCACCAGCCCUCUCCCCUCUGGGCUCCUUCGGGAUGGCAGUCCUGGAGCUCUUCUUUCCUGCCUUUGACAUGAUAAACAUAACGCCCUUUUCGGCUAAGGGACUGUCUGGCUGUCGCAGGGCACACAUGUGCUCCACCUCCACCUUCAAGGGCAGCCACUGUGUAUCCCUGGACUGGGAGGAGCUGGAAGAGGACCGGAAGGGAAACAGGAAGCAGGGAAUGCUUUGUCCAAGCCCCUCUCCUUAAGGAUGAACCACCUUUUCUGUGAGAAGCUGGAAUUCUCUGCCUUUAUUUUCCCAGCAGCCAGGUUCCCACUCAGGGGUGAAGCAACCCUGGGG
This 1161-nucleotide long non-coding RNA is filed under the name Bos indicus x Bos taurus (hybrid cattle). RNAcentral describes it as "lncRNA (ENSBIXG00000015885.1)". Lineage: Eukaryota; Metazoa; Chordata; Mammalia; Artiodactyla; Bovidae. The record is from RNAcentral.